GAUGAACGCUGGCGGCGUGCCUAAUACAUGCAAGUCGAGCGAACAGACGAGGAGCUUGCUCCUCUGACGUGAGCGGCGGACGGGUGAGUAACACGUGGAUAACCUACCUAUAAGACUGGGAUAACUUCGGGAAGCCGGAGCUAAUACCGGAUAAUAUAUUGAACCGCAUGGUUCAAUAGUGAAAGACGGUUUUGCUGUCACUUAUAGAUGGAUCCGCGCCGCAUUAGCUAGUUGGUAAGGUAACGGCUUACCAAGGCAACGAUGCGUAGCCGACCUGAGAGGGUGAUCGGCCACACUGUAACUGAGACACGGUCCAGACUCCUACGGGAGGCAGCCGUAGGGAAUCUUCCGGAAUGGGCGAGAGCCUGACGGAGCAACGCCGCGUGAGGGAUGAAGAUCUUCGGAUCGUAAAACUCUGUUAUUAGGGAAGAACAAAUGUGUAAGUAGCUAUGCACGUCUUGACGGUACCUGAUCAGAAAGCCACGGCUAACUACGUG
RNAcentral lists this ribosomal RNA (497 nucleotides) under uncultured bacterium. RNAcentral's name for it is "partial 16S ribosomal RNA". It matches the Rfam family "Bacterial small subunit ribosomal RNA", at positions 28 to 507 of the family's 1533-position model. The record is from RNAcentral.